This 197-nucleotide ribosomal RNA is filed under the name uncultured bacterium. Its description in RNAcentral is "partial 16S ribosomal RNA". It matches the Rfam family "Bacterial small subunit ribosomal RNA", at positions 335 to 524 of the family's 1533-position model. The record is from RNAcentral.
ACUCCUACGGGAGGCAUGGGUGGUAAAUAUUGCUGAAUGGAACCCUGCCUGAUGCAUCCAUGCCGCGUGUAUGAAGAAGGCCUUCUGUUUGUAAAUUACUUUCAGCGGGAAGGAAGGUGUUGUGGUUAAUAACCGCAGCAAUUGACGUUACCCGCAUAAGAACCACCGGCUAACUCCGUGCCAGCAGCCGCGGUAAU